UAGGCCAGUCAUCCCAUGGGCAAAUUUUUGUGUGAACGUAUUUGCUUAUAUCACAAACUCUUUCACUUUUUAAAGUAUUCUUAAGAGGGACGCAUACCAAAAUAUUGGUGGGAACGUUAUAUAAAGGGUUGUGCUUGCCUAUGAUGCAAAUUUACAUAUAUUUAUUUAUUUACUGAUUUUAUUGUGAGACUAGGGAAAUAUUCAAGAAUGUUGUUUUCCAGAAUUUGUUCAGCAGAAGGUGACAAGGAGCUUCUAUAAAAGCAUAUUAAACUUCAGCAUUUCUACACUGUGGACUUUACAUUCAAAAGCUGCAAUGAAACCUGGAGAGCUACUCAGGAGAAUCUAGACAAUGCUGAUGUCAUAUGGCUUGUGAAAGAGAGAGGGAUUACAUGUACCGUGUGUGGAGCACAGCACUUGUUUGGUCAGGUUGUUGGCAUCGCACCAUUGACAAUGAAUGUGGAGACUUGAAGUCCCAAGUCUAAGAUCCUUUCCUCAGCCACAUUCAGCAUCAGCAGAAAGGAGAAGAAAGAUGUUUCUACAUGUCAGCUAUCAGGUCAGAAAACAGACCAAAAGUCAACCUCUAUGUGUUCGGGGGAAAAGGAAUAGUACUAUAUAUAAAGUUUUUUAAUAUUCCCAUAUUAAAAUAAUAUUCCCAGUGUCUACUAAGGCACCAAGGUACUGUGAAAAUAGAUUCAAAAGCACUGACAAAUGUAGUGAUAUCGGUACCUCUGCAGUAGGUAAACACAGAAACGUAGAAUGAUUUGGGUGCGAAGAGACCUCAAAGACCAUCUAGUUCCAACGCCCCUGCCAUAGGUAGGGACACCUUCCACUAGACCAGGCUGCCCAAUGCCCCAUUUGACUU
This 862-nucleotide long non-coding RNA is filed under the name Anser cygnoides (Swan goose). RNAcentral's name for it is "lncRNA (ENSACDG00005010654.1)". Lineage: Eukaryota; Metazoa; Chordata; Aves; Anseriformes; Anatidae. The record is from RNAcentral.